RNAcentral lists this ribosomal RNA (447 nucleotides) under uncultured bacterium. RNAcentral describes it as "partial 16S ribosomal RNA". It matches the Rfam family "Bacterial small subunit ribosomal RNA", at positions 29 to 523 of the family's 1533-position model. The record is from RNAcentral.
AACGAACGCUGGCGGCAGGCUUAACACAUGCAAGUCGAGCGCCCCGCAAGGGGAGCGGCAGACGGGUGAGUAACGCGUGGGAAUCUACCUUUUGCUACGGAAUAACGCAGGGAAACUUGUGCUAAUACCGUAUGUGCCCUUCGGGGGAAAGAUUUAUCGGCAAAGGAUGAGCCAGCGUUGGAUUAGCUAGUUGGUGGGGUAAAGGCCUACCAAGGCGACGAUCCAUAGCUGGUCUGAGAGGAUGAUCAGCCACAUUGGGACUGAGACACGGCCCAAACUCCUAAGGGAGGCAGCAGUGGGGAAUAUUGGGCAAUGGGCGCAAGCCUGAUCCAGCCAUGCCGCGUGAGUGAUGAAGGCCUUAGGAUUGUAAAGCUCUUUCACCGGUGAAGAUAAUGACGGUAACCGGAGAAGAAGCCCCGGCUAACUUCGUGCCAGCCGCCGCAGUAA